RNAcentral lists this ribosomal RNA (465 nucleotides) under Vreelandella stevensii. RNAcentral's name for it is "partial 16S ribosomal RNA". It matches the Rfam family "Bacterial small subunit ribosomal RNA", at positions 338 to 795 of the family's 1533-position model. Lineage: Bacteria; Pseudomonadati; Pseudomonadota; Gammaproteobacteria; Oceanospirillales; Halomonadaceae. The record is from RNAcentral.
CCUACGGGAGGCAGCAGUGGGGAAUAUUGGACAAUGGGGGCAACCCUGAUCCACCCAUGCCGCGUGUGUGAAGAAGGCCCUCGGGUUGUAAAGCACUUUCAGUGAGGAAGAACGCCUGGUGGUUAAUACCCAUCAGGAAAGACAUCACUCACAGAAGAAGCACCGGCUAACUCCGUGCCAGCAGCCGCGGUAAUACGGAGGGUGCGAGCGUUAAUCGGAAUUACUGGGCGUAAAGCGCGCGUAGGUGGCUUGAUAAGCCGGUUGUGAAAGCCCCGGGCUCAACCUGGGAACGGCAUCCGGAACUGUCAAGCUAGAGUGCAGGAGAGGAAGGUAGAAUUCCCGGUGUAGCGGUGAAAUGCGUAGAGAUCGGGAGGAAUACCAGUGGCGAAGGCGGCCUUCUGGACUGACACUGACACUGAGGUGCGAAAGCGUGGGUAGCAAACAGGAUUAGAUACCCGAGUAGUC